ACUUAUUGUUUGUCAAUUGGAGAAUCUCCUCUAUUCCACUAUACUCCCUUUAACACUGAAAUGGUUUUUUUGCUUUGUGAACUGGUUUUAAAAAAGUUUUAUACCCUACAAGACGGAAGUAACCAAUUCACUACUACACUUAUAAAACUACAUCAUACAUAUUUUUUGAAGGCGUAAGAAAGAGACGCACAUAAAGCUGUAUAAUAUUUGAUAAACAUUCCAGCCAUGGCAUUAUUUAGAAAAAAUGUUUGAGAUAAGCGGUUUUUGUGAUUUGCUUUUAAAAUACGUACAUAUGCAAUAUAAUUUUGCUUUGCUUUUUAGCAUCAAAAGGCGUUUAUAUAGAAGCACAAAAUUGGAAGUGGAAGAUUUCAUCAUCAUAAGCUAAAUUCUUUUGUAUGGUUAGAAAGUGUCAUCAGCUGAUAUUUUAACCAAAAAUGGGAAUAUAAUUAUAGUAAGAUUUAAGUUUUUCCCUUCAUUAUUUUUUAAUUUUAGGAAACGGUGAUCAGUAUUAUUGAAUAGAUAAAGAUUUAAGGCAUGAAGAAAAUGAUAAAAUAUAAUAUAAUAGUUAAUAAAAAUUGACAAA
This is a non-coding RNA of Bactrocera oleae (olive fruit fly), 583 nucleotides long. NCBI's taxonomy places the organism in Eukaryota, Metazoa, Arthropoda, Insecta, Diptera, Tephritidae. The record is from RefSeq and is a predicted model, not a curated record.